ACCUGCCCACUGAUUAAAGGGCCGCGGUAUUUUGACCGUGCAAAGGUAGCAUAAUCAUUAGUCUCUUAAUUAGAGGCUGGAAUGAAUGGUUGGACGAAAUAUAAUCUAUUAGAAUUUAAUUAUUAAGUAAAAAAGCUUAAAUAAUUUUUUGGGACGAGAAGACCCUAUAGAGUUAUUUAUAUUUUAUUGGGGUGAUAAGAAGAUAUAAAACUUUUUUUUGAUCCAUUUGAUUAUAAGACUAAAUUACCUUAGGGAUAACAGCGUAAUCUUUUUUGAGAGUUCAUAUCGACAAUAAGGGUUGCGACCUCGAUUGGGAUUAAAA
RNAcentral lists this ribosomal RNA (322 nucleotides) under Antroxestoblatta immaculata. RNAcentral describes it as "partial 16S ribosomal RNA". It matches the Rfam family "Archaeal large subunit ribosomal RNA", at positions 1949 to 2610 of the family's 2987-position model. The record is from RNAcentral. Lineage: Eukaryota; Metazoa; Arthropoda; Insecta; Blattodea; Blattellidae.